This 168-nucleotide ribosomal RNA is filed under the name uncultured bacterium. Its description in RNAcentral is "partial 16S ribosomal RNA". It matches the Rfam family "Bacterial small subunit ribosomal RNA", at positions 338 to 497 of the family's 1533-position model. The record is from RNAcentral.
CCUACGGGAGGCAGCAGUGAGGAAUUUUGCGCAAUGGGGGCAACCCUGACGCAGCAACGCCGCGUGAGUGAAGAAGGCCUUUGGGUCGUAAAGCUCUGUCAACAGGGAAGAAGUUACAAUUGUUUAACAGAUGGUUGUAUUGACGGUACCCUGGGAGGAAGCCCCGGC